GCGGGGGUUACCGAGUCAGGCCAAAGGUGGUAGACUCAAGAUCUACUCCCAUAGGGGUUCGCCGGUUCGAAUCCGGCCCCCCGCA
Molecule: transfer RNA, 85 nt
Filed under: Halobacteria archaeon
Lineage: Archaea; Methanobacteriati; Methanobacteriota; Halobacteria
Description: tRNA-Leu
Rfam family: tRNA
About the family: Transfer RNA (tRNA) molecules are approximately 80 nucleotides in length. Their secondary structure includes four short double-helical elements and three loops (D, anti-codon, and T loops). Further hydrogen bonds mediate the characteristic L-shaped molecular structure. tRNAs have two regions of fundamental functional importance: the anti-codon, which is responsible for specific mRNA codon recognition, and the 3' end, to which the tRNAs corresponding amino acid is attached (by aminoacyl-tRNA synthetases). tRNAs cope with the degeneracy of the genetic code in two manners: having more than one tRNA (with a specific anti-codon) for a particular amino acid; and 'wobble' base-pairing, i.e. permitting non-standard base-pairing at the 3rd anti-codon position.
Source: RNAcentral